GUUUUAAUAAUUUAAGCAAAAUAUUGGUCUUGUAAACCAAAAAUGAGAUUUCUCUUAAAGCU
This 62-nucleotide transfer RNA is filed under the name Laxta sp. BLA048. RNAcentral describes it as "tRNA-Thr". It matches the Rfam family "tRNA". Rfam says of the family: Transfer RNA (tRNA) molecules are approximately 80 nucleotides in length. Their secondary structure includes four short double-helical elements and three loops (D, anti-codon, and T loops). Further hydrogen bonds mediate the characteristic L-shaped molecular structure. tRNAs have two regions of fundamental functional importance: the anti-codon, which is responsible for specific mRNA codon recognition, and the 3' end, to which the tRNAs corresponding amino acid is attached (by aminoacyl-tRNA synthetases). tRNAs cope with the degeneracy of the genetic code in two manners: having more than one tRNA (with a specific anti-codon) for a particular amino acid; and 'wobble' base-pairing, i.e. permitting non-standard base-pairing at the 3rd anti-codon position. The record is from RNAcentral. Lineage: Eukaryota; Metazoa; Arthropoda; Insecta; Blattodea; Blaberidae.